UAAAAUAAGAAAUAGAAGUUGAAAAGAAAAUAAUAAUGAAAAAUAGCAAUAAUUAAACAAAAAGAAUGAAAAAAAAAAUGUAAAAUGAGAAGUGAAUUUUCAGCACGUGUAAUGCUUUAAAUUUCACUUUUUCGUUCAUGAUUUAGACAUUGCACAUUAAAUAAUUUCAUACGGGCUAUAUUUUUGUAAUGACGUAUUUGGUAGAUAUCUAGGUGAACAAAUUGGUGAAAAUAAGAGAAGAAUGGUCACUUUCUCAAAAAUAUUUUGAUAUACAUUAAUCAAACAAUUGCUUGUCAUAGUUGGAUGGUUUUUUUAUUUGGGCAAUUUCUUAUUGCAUCGGACAGUUUGUUUCUGCACCUCACUGGGAAAAAUUAGGUUUACUUCAUUUUCUUGUUUUCUGUGGGUUUUGUUGAUUGUUUGGUGAGUGUUGUUCCCUUCACCUCUCCAAGUGAGUCUUGCACCUCCUCACUAUUUUAAUUAUUUCAAAAAUAUUUUACACCUUUUCACUAUUUUCUUUUAUUCUAAAAAUACGCACAUUUCCCCAGUAUCAUUAACAAUCUUUCUCUUCUCUCUCUACAUUAAUGGAACAUUUACAUAACUCAAAUUUGAACUUGUGAUAUAUUUUUUUAAAUAAGUUUG
Molecule: long non-coding RNA, 639 nt
Filed under: Vigna radiata
Lineage: Eukaryota; Viridiplantae; Streptophyta; Magnoliopsida; Fabales; Fabaceae
Description: long non-coding RNA (VRAD_LNC006186)
Source: RNAcentral